This 1188-nucleotide ribosomal RNA is filed under the name uncultured fungus. RNAcentral's name for it is "eukaryotic LSU rRNA". The stretch from base 537 to 1188 matches the Rfam family "Eukaryotic large subunit ribosomal RNA", at positions 1 to 667 of the family's 3401-position model. Lineage: Eukaryota; Fungi. The record is from RNAcentral.
CUUGGUCAUUUAGAGGAAGUAAAAGUCGUAACAAGGUUUCCGUUGGUGAACCAGCGGAAGGAUCAUUACAGAGAUCAUGCCCUCACGGGUAGACCUCCCACCCUGUUUAUAUACUAUUGUUGCUUUGGCAGGCCGCCUUCGGGCUCCCGGCUUCGGCUGGGGAGCGCCUGCCAGAGGACCCAAACUCUUGUGUUAAAAAUGUCGUCCGAGUACUAUAUAAUAAGUUAAAACUUUCAACAACGGAUCUCUUGGUUCUGGCAUCGAUGAAGAACGCAGCGAAAUGCGAUAAGUAAUGUGAAUUGCAGAAUUCAGUGAAUCAUCGAAUCUUUGAACGCACAUUGCGCCCCUUGGUAUUCCGGGGGGCAUGCCUGUUCRAGCGUCAUUUCAACCCUCAAGCCUAGCUUGGUCUUGGGCUCUGCCGGCAACGGCUUGCCUUAAAAUCAGUGGCGGUGCCAUCGAGCUCUACGCGUAGUAAUUAUACCCUCGCUUCUGAGUCUCGGCGGUCGCUUGCCAGCAACCCCCAAUUUUUCUAUGGUUGACCUCGGAUCAGGUAGGGAUACCCGCUGAACUUAAGCAUAUCAAUAAGCGGAGGAAAAGAAACCAACAGGGAUUACCUCAGUAACGGCGAGUGAAGCGGUAACAGCUCAAAUUUGAAAUCUGGCUCUUUCAGGGUCCGAGUUGUAAUUUGUAGAAGAUGCUUCGGGUGUGGCUCCGGUCUAAGUUCCUUGGAACAGGACGUCAUAGAGGGUGAGAAUCCCGUAUGUGACUGGCUGCCUCCGCCCAUGUGAAGCUCUUUCGACGAGUCGAGUUGUUUGGGAAUGCAGCUCAAAAUGGGUGGUAAAUUUCAUCUAAAGCUAAAUAUUGGCCAGAGACCGAUAGCGCACAAGUAGAGUGAUCGAAAGAUGAAAAGCACUUUGGAAAGAGAGUUAAACAGUACGUGAAAUUGUUGAAAGGGAAGCGCUUGCAAUCAGACUUGCACGCUGCCGAUCAUCUGGGGUUCUCUCCAGUGCACUCGGUUGCGUUCAGGCCAGCAUCGGUUUGGGUGGUUGGAUAAAGGCCUUGGGAAUGUAGCUUCUUUCGGGGAGUGUUAUAGCCCUCGGUGCAAUGCAGCCUAUCCGGACCGAGGACCGCGCUUCGGCUAGGAUGCUGGCGUAAUGGUUGUAAGCGACCCGUCUUGAAACACGGACC